Molecule: non-coding RNA, 373 nt
Organism: Struthio camelus australis
Lineage: Eukaryota; Metazoa; Chordata; Aves; Struthioniformes; Struthionidae
Source: RefSeq, a predicted model, not a curated record
GGAAAACCAAAUGCUGCUUUGGGGGCUAUAAACCGGUUUAAAGUAUAUUUUGAACUCAAGUCUGGUACUGUUCUGACGUAAUAAAUUGUUGAAGCCGGAAUUGUGUCAUCUAUGUCAGAGGAAUUAAAACUUAAAUUGGAUUUUAAUUAUUUUGUGGUAGCAUGGUCUUACUUCCCACAAGUAAGUAUGUGCAUGUCCUGGUGCACAGGAUGGCAGGAUUUAUUCAUGUUUCUACUUACAGGCAAAGGCUGCAGGGCAUACACAGGUUCUUGACUUCUUUAGACAUUAGCGGUAAACAAGACUGUAGAAGAUGGUCAUUCCUCUUCAGAAGCAACAGCUUUGAAUCGUUAAUGAUGUUAAGCAGUUAUGACGG